This 468-nucleotide ribosomal RNA is filed under the name uncultured bacterium. Its description in RNAcentral is "partial 16S ribosomal RNA". It matches the Rfam family "Bacterial small subunit ribosomal RNA", at positions 28 to 507 of the family's 1533-position model. The record is from RNAcentral.
GACGAACGCUGGCGGCGUGCUUAACACAUGCAAGUCGAACGGAAAGGCCCUGCGUUUGUGGGGUGCUCGAGUGGCGAACGGGUGAGUAACACGUGAGUAACCUGCCCUUGACUUUGGGAUAACUUCAGGAAACUGGGGCUAAUACCGGAUAGGAGCUCCUGCUGCAUGGUGGGGGUUGGAAAGUUUCGGCGGUUGGGGAUGGACUCGCGGCUUAUCAGCUUGUUGGUGGGGUAGUGGCUUACCAAGGCUUUGACGGGUAGCCGGCCUGGGAGGGUGACCGGCCACAUUGGGCCUGCGAUACGGCCCAGACUCCUACGGGCGGCAGCAGUGGGGAGUAUUGCACAAUGGGCGGAAGCCUGAUGCAGCAACGCCGCGUGCGGGAUGACGGCCUUCGGGUUGUAAACCGCUUUCGCCUGUGACGAAGCGUGAGUGACGGUAAUGGGUAAAGAAGCACCGGCUAACUACGUG